AAGGAGUCGUCUUCGUACGCGAGUGUUCGGGUGUCAAACCCCUACGCGUAAUGAAAGUGAACGUAGGCGAGAGCUUCGGCGCAUCACCGACCGAUCCUGAUGUUCUCGUAUGGAUUUGAGUGAGAGCGUACGUGGCCGGACCCGAAAGAAGGUGAACUAUGCCUGUGUAGGGUGAAGCCAGGGGAAACUCUGGUGGAGGCUCGCAGCGGUUCUGACGUGCAAAUCGCUCGUCAAAUAUGGGCAUGGGGGCGAAAGACUAAUCGAACCUUCUAGUAGCUGGUUUCCGC
RNAcentral lists this unclassified non-coding RNA (287 nucleotides) under uncultured fungus. RNAcentral's name for it is "partial contains 5.8S rRNA, ITS2 and 28S rRNA". It matches the Rfam family "Eukaryotic large subunit ribosomal RNA", at positions 668 to 961 of the family's 3401-position model. Lineage: Eukaryota; Fungi. The record is from RNAcentral.